AUUGAACGCUGGCGGCAGGCUUAACACAUGCAAGUCGAGCGGGGUGAUGGUGCUUGCACUAUCACUUAGCGGCGGACGGGUGAGUAAUGCUUAGGAAUCUGCCUAUUAGUGGGGGACAACAUCUCGAAAGGGAUGCUAAUACCGCAUACGUCCUACGGGAGAAAGCAGGGGAUCACUUGUGACCUUGCGCUAAUAGAUGAGCCUAAGUGGGAUUAGCGAGUUGGUGGGGUAAAGGCCUACCAAGGGGACGAUCUGUAGCGGGUCUGAGAGGAUGAUCCGCCACACUGGGACUGAGACACGGCCCAGACUCCUACGGGAGGCAGCAGUGGGGAAUAUUGGACAAUGGGGGGAACCCUGAUCUAGCCAUGCCGCGUGUGUGAAGAAGGCCUUAUGGUUGUAAAGCACUUUAAGCGAGGAGGAGGCUCUUUUGGUUAAUACCCAAGAUGAGUGGACGUUACUCGCAGAAUAAGCACCGGCUAACUCUGUGCCAGCCGCCGCCGUAA
RNAcentral lists this ribosomal RNA (503 nucleotides) under uncultured bacterium. Its description in RNAcentral is "partial 16S ribosomal RNA". It matches the Rfam family "Bacterial small subunit ribosomal RNA", at positions 30 to 523 of the family's 1533-position model. The record is from RNAcentral.